CCUGAGUCUGAUGCAAAUUGAUGGUGGCUUGAUGCAAAACUGUAUGCUGAGGGGGCUAGCACGUUCACCUCAUACCUCCAGGGUCCGGGGUUCGAGUCCCGCCGGGGCCAUGUGUGUGUGCGGAGUUUGCAUUUUCUCCCUGUGCUGCAGGGAUUUCCUCCGGGUACUGCGGUUUCCUCCACCAGUCCAAAGACAUGCAUGAUAGGCUGACUGGCAUGUCUAAAGUGUCCGUAGUGUAUGAUGAGUGUGUAUGUGAUUGUGCCCUGCAAUGGACUGGCACCCUGUCCAGGUUGUACCCCGCCUCAUGCCCGAUGCUACCUGGGAUUGGCUUCAGGUUCCCCCGUGACCCUGAAAAGGAGUAAGCGGUAGAAGAUGGAUGGAUGCUGAGGAAGAAAAUGAUUCUGGCUUCAACAACAGCAUGUGAAUCCACCUACGAGUAUGUUUUUGGGAGAUGGGGGAGGGGAAACCUGGAGGAUGCCAACACAGACAGCAAAGAGUUCUGGUGUUAGAUAAAUAGGAACCAGCAAGAGAAAGGCGUCUCUUGCAUCGGCCAUGCUGAGCCACACUUGAACACGUUUGUUUGUCGCCAGGGGAAAUGGAACGUGCGCAGAAUUGUAACGUCUCAUCUGCAGAACUGCAAAAAGUAGGGAGAUGAGGAGCAAGCAUGCCACAAAGAAGAACAUGCAGCCUUUGUGCAACUACAAAAGCGGUUUUGUAAGUUGAAGGGCUUGCUGGGGGAGGAAACGCAGCUGGCGGGGGUUGAGUCUUCGCCAGAAAGCCUCAAGAACUCAAAGCAAAGUGC
This is a long non-coding RNA of Ictalurus punctatus (channel catfish), 802 nucleotides long. The record is from Ensembl. NCBI's taxonomy places the organism in Eukaryota, Metazoa, Chordata, Actinopteri, Siluriformes, Ictaluridae.